UGAGGGUUAGCCAAGUCCGGCCAAAGGCAUCGGGUUUUGAUCCCGACAUUCACAGGUUCGAAUCCUGUACCCUCUACCA
RNAcentral lists this transfer RNA (79 nucleotides) under compost metagenome. Its description in RNAcentral is "tRNA-Gln". It matches the Rfam family "tRNA". From Rfam's summary of the family: Transfer RNA (tRNA) molecules are approximately 80 nucleotides in length. The record is from RNAcentral.